This 505-nucleotide ribosomal RNA is filed under the name uncultured bacterium. RNAcentral describes it as "bacterial SSU rRNA". It matches the Rfam family "Bacterial small subunit ribosomal RNA", at positions 29 to 518 of the family's 1533-position model. The record is from RNAcentral.
AUGAACGCUGGCGGCGUGCCUAACACAUGCAAGUCGAACGGAGAAUAUACGCUUCAGAAGCUUCGGCAGAUGAUUGUAUAUUCUUAGUGGCGGACGGGUGAGUAACGCGUGGGUAACCUGCCCUAUACCGGGGGAUAGCAGUUGGAAACGACUGAUAAUACCGCAUAAGCGCACAGUACCGCAUGGUAGAGUGUGAAAAACUCCGGUGGUAUAGGAUGGGCCCGCGUCAGAUUAGCUAGUUGGUAAGGUAAAGGCUUACCAAGGCGACGAUCUGUAGCCGGACUGAGAGGUCGGACGGCCACAUUGGGACUGAGACACGGCCCAGACUCCUACGGGAGGCAGCAGUGGGGGAUAUUGCACAAUGGAGGAAACUCUGAUGCAGCGACGCCGCGUGAGUGAAGAAGUAUUUCGGUAUGUAAAGCUCUAUCAGCAGGGAAGAAAGGCUCGAAAGAGAGAUGACGGUACCUGACUAAGAAGCCCCGGCUAACUACGUGCCAGCCGCGGC